RNAcentral lists this ribosomal RNA (495 nucleotides) under uncultured bacterium. RNAcentral describes it as "partial 16S ribosomal RNA". It matches the Rfam family "Bacterial small subunit ribosomal RNA", at positions 28 to 507 of the family's 1533-position model. The record is from RNAcentral.
GACGAACGCUGGCGGCGUGCCUAAUACAUGCAAGUCGAACGCUGAAGGAGGAGCUUGCUUCUCUGGAUGAGUUGCGAACGGGUGAGUAACGCGUAGGUAACCUGCCUGGUAGCGGGGGAUAACUAUUGGAAACGAUAGCUAAUACCGCAUAAUAGUAGAUGUUGCAUGACAUUUGCUUAAAAGUUGCAAUUGCAUCACUACCAGAUGGACCUGCGUUGUAUUAGCUAGUUGGUGGGGUAACGGCUCACCAAGGCGACGAUACAUAGCCGACCUGAGAGGGUGAUCGGCCAAACUGGGAAUGAGACACGGCCCAGAAUCCUAAGGGAGGCAGCAGUAGGGAAUCUUCGGCAAUGGAAGGAAGUCUGACCGAGCAAAGCCGCGUGAGUGAAGAAGGUUUUCGGAUCGUAAAGCUCUGUUGUAAGAGAAGAAAGAGUGUGAGAGUGGAAAGUUCACACUGUGACGGUAUCUUACCAGAAAGGGACGGCUAACUACGUG